Long non-coding RNA from Podarcis raffonei (Aeolian wall lizard), 624 nucleotides. RefSeq lists it as uncharacterized. Lineage: Eukaryota; Metazoa; Chordata; Lepidosauria; Squamata; Lacertidae. The record is from RefSeq and is a predicted model, not a curated record. The transcript has 4 exons.
UCUCACUGACACUCCCACACCACCCCCGCUAUAGAAGCAUCAUGGAAGGUAAAACUGCAUAGGAUUGUGACUCAUUUACUUUCCGAGGUUAUUCCUAAAUCCUUAUGACUGUUCAGGAAGUUCAACAUCCCAACUAACUGUAGAUUUCCAAGAAACACUGCUAUACUGAACUUGAGCACCUUUUACGGGUGAAAAACCUUCACCCUAAGGACCACAUCCCUUCAUGAGCAAAUGUUUGGGGACUGCAGGCCAGUGCUCUUUUAAAUGCCUUGUGGAGCUUAUCAUCAGAAUUACGUUUCUGAGCACAAUUCAAAGUGUUGGAGCUGACCUUCAAAGCCCUAAAUGGCCUUGACUCAGUAUACCUAAAGGAGCGUCUCCACCCCCAUUGUUCAGCCCGGACACUGAGUUCCAGCUCCCAGGGCCUUCUGGAGGUUUCCUCACUGUGAGAAGUGAAGCUACAGGGAACCAGGCAGAGGGUCUUCUUGGUAGUGGCGCCCGCCCUGUGGAACGCCCUCCCGCCAGAUGUCAAAGGAAAAAACAACUACCAGACUUUUAGAAGACAUCUGAAGGCAGCCCUGUUUAGGGAAGCUUUUAAUAUCUGAAGGACUAGUGUAUUUUAAUAUU